AGCACGAUGGCCGAGUGGUUAAGGCGUUGGACUUAAGUUCCAAUGGACAAGUGUCCGCGUGGGUUCGAACCCCACUCAUGCUA
This 83-nucleotide transfer RNA is filed under the name Octopus vulgaris (common octopus). It matches the Rfam family "tRNA". Rfam says of the family: Transfer RNA (tRNA) molecules are approximately 80 nucleotides in length. Their secondary structure includes four short double-helical elements and three loops (D, anti-codon, and T loops). RNAcentral also lists the same sequence under 1 other name. Lineage: Eukaryota; Metazoa; Mollusca; Cephalopoda; Octopoda; Octopodidae. The record is from Rfam by way of RNAcentral.